RNAcentral lists this ribosomal RNA (338 nucleotides) under uncultured Pseudomonadota bacterium. Its description in RNAcentral is "bacterial SSU rRNA". It matches the Rfam family "Bacterial small subunit ribosomal RNA", at positions 29 to 351 of the family's 1533-position model. The record is from RNAcentral. Lineage: Bacteria; Pseudomonadati; Pseudomonadota.
AACGAACGCUGGCGGCGUGCUUAACACAUGCAAGUCGAACGCGAAAGAGUUCUUCGGAACUUGAGUAGAGUGGCGCACGGGUGAGUAACGCGUAAGUGAUCUACCCCUGUAUCUGGAAUAACUAUGGGAAACUGUAGCUAAUACCGGAUACGUUCAUGUAGUUGCGAUUAUGUGAAGAAAGAUGGCCUCUGAUUCAAGCUAUUGUACAGGGAGGAGCUUGCGUACCAUUAGCUAGUUGGUAGGGUAAUGGCCUACCAAGGCAACGAUGGUUAGCGGGUCUGAGAGGAUGAUCCGCCACACUGGAACUGAAACACGGACCAGACUCCUACGGGAGGCAG